RNAcentral lists this ribosomal RNA (288 nucleotides) under Aeromonas salmonicida subsp. salmonicida 01-B526. RNAcentral's name for it is "partial 16S ribosomal RNA". It matches the Rfam family "Bacterial small subunit ribosomal RNA", at positions 220 to 525 of the family's 1533-position model. The record is from RNAcentral. Lineage: Bacteria; Pseudomonadati; Pseudomonadota; Gammaproteobacteria; Aeromonadales; Aeromonadaceae.
AUGAGAUGAGCCUGCGGCCCAUCAGGUAGUUGGUAGGGUAACGGCCUACCAAGCCGAAGACGGGUAGCUGGUCUGAGAGGAUGAUCAGCCACACUGGAACUGAGACACGGUCCAGACUCCUACGGGAGGCAGCAGUGGGGAAUCUUGCGCAAUGGGCGAAAGCCUGACGCAGCGACGCCGCGUGAGUGAUGAAGGCCCUAGGGUUGUAAAGCUCUUUCACCGGUGAAGAUAAUGACGGUAACCGGAGAAGUAGCCCCGGCUAACUUCGUGCCAGCCGCCGCGGUAAUU